Molecule: ribosomal RNA, 516 nt
Filed under: uncultured bacterium
Lineage: Bacteria
Description: bacterial SSU rRNA
Rfam family: Bacterial small subunit ribosomal RNA
Source: RNAcentral
CUUAACACAUGCAAGUCGAGGGACCGGCGCACGGGUGAGUAACACGUAUCCAACCUGCCCUUUACUCGGGGAUAGCCUUUCGAAAGAAAGAUUAAUACCCGAUGUAAAGGAUGGGGAUGCGUUCCAUUAGGUUGUUGGUGAGGUCACGGCUCACCAAGCCUUCGAUGGAUAGGGGUUCUGAGAGGAAGGUCCCCCACAUUGGAACUGAGACACGGUCCAAACUCCUACGGGAGGCAGCAGUGAGGAAUAUUGGUCAAUGGGCGCUAGCCCGAACCAGCCAAGUAGCGUGAAGGAUGAAGGCUUAUGGGUCGUAAACUUCUUUUAUAUAAGAAUAUGUAUUAUAUGAAUAAGGAUCGGCUAACUCCGUGCCAGCAGCCGCGGUAAUACGGAGGAUCCGAGCGUUAUCCGGAUUUAUUGGGUUUAAAGGGAGCGUAGGUGGACUGGUAAGUCAGUUGUGAAAGUUUGCGGCUCAACCGUAAAAUUGCAGUUGAUACUGUCAGUCUUGAGUACAGUAGA